Molecule: transfer RNA, 60 nt
Filed under: Otolemur garnettii (small-eared galago)
Lineage: Eukaryota; Metazoa; Chordata; Mammalia; Primates; Galagidae
Rfam family: tRNA
About the family: Transfer RNA (tRNA) molecules are approximately 80 nucleotides in length. Their secondary structure includes four short double-helical elements and three loops (D, anti-codon, and T loops). Further hydrogen bonds mediate the characteristic L-shaped molecular structure. tRNAs have two regions of fundamental functional importance: the anti-codon, which is responsible for specific mRNA codon recognition, and the 3' end, to which the tRNAs corresponding amino acid is attached (by aminoacyl-tRNA synthetases). tRNAs cope with the degeneracy of the genetic code in two manners: having more than one tRNA (with a specific anti-codon) for a particular amino acid; and 'wobble' base-pairing, i.e. permitting non-standard base-pairing at the 3rd anti-codon position.
Source: Rfam by way of RNAcentral
GUGGCUCAGUGGGUAGGGCAUCGGCCCUAUAUGCCGAGGGUAGCGGGUUCAAGCCCGGCC